CCUACGGGUGGCAGCAGUAGGGAAUCUUCCACAAUGGACGAAAGUCUGAUGGAGCAACGCCGCGUGAGUGAAGAAGGGUUUCGGCUCGUAAAGCUCUGUUGGUAGGGACGAAAGAUAUAGGUAGUAACUGGCCUUAAUUUGACGGUAAUUACUUACACAGUGCCGGCUAACUACGUGACAGAAGCCGCGGUAAUACGUAGGUGGCAAGUGUUGUCCGGAUUUGUUGGGCGUAAAGCGAGUGCAGGCGGUUAAAUCAGUAUGAUGUGACAGCCUUUGGCUCAACCGGGGAAUUGCAUCAGAAACUGUUGAACUUGAGUGCAGAAGAGGAGAGUGGAACUCCGUGUGUAGCGGUGGAAUGCGUAGAUAUAUGGAAGAACACCAGUGGCGAAGGCGGCUCGCUGGACUGCAACUGACGCUGAGGCGCGAAAGCAUGGGUAGCGAACAGGAUUAGAUACCCUGGUAGUC
RNAcentral lists this ribosomal RNA (465 nucleotides) under uncultured bacterium. Its description in RNAcentral is "partial 16S ribosomal RNA". It matches the Rfam family "Bacterial small subunit ribosomal RNA", at positions 338 to 795 of the family's 1533-position model. The record is from RNAcentral.